GAUGCUUCAGCCUGGACACAGCCACUGACAGCCCAAAAGCAGCCCAAGGAGCUGCUGGUGUUUCCUGGUGAUGGUGGCACAGGCUGCGUGCAGAGGGGCUCAGACAGCAAUUGCUGGUUCCAGCCUCCCAGAGCUCCCAGGCAGCUGCCAGGUGUGUCCUGUCCACCCCAAUUGCCUUCCCUUCCCUUCCUGCCUGAGGCCUCGUUCAGCAGCAGCAGCACUAGCACUAAAGCCAAGGCAAUCUUCCCUCACAGCUAUUAAAUGCCAACCGACAGCCUGCAGAGAUGCCUUCAAAUCAAAGGUUCAGGUGGGAUGAAGUUUUGUUUGGACGAAGGUGGGAGUUUUCAGGGAGCCAGCUGGAAGUGCAGAAGGGAUGGAAAGCUUUCCCAGGUGCUGGACUUGCCUCUGUGGAUGUGUGCUGAGCUCUCACUACAGGGGACUGUGAGGCCUGACUGGCUUGAGAAGAACACCAACUUGCAGGCAUCAAAAGCUCAAAACUCGUUUAAUUGAGCUUGAAGAAACUUGAAGAAGGAAUUUGGAUGUAUAAAACCAAGCUGAGAAGAGCAUCAGUGU
This is a long non-coding RNA of Oenanthe melanoleuca, 573 nucleotides long. RefSeq lists it as uncharacterized. The record is from RefSeq and is a predicted model, not a curated record. The transcript has 4 exons. Lineage: Eukaryota; Metazoa; Chordata; Aves; Passeriformes; Muscicapidae.